Molecule: ribosomal RNA, 449 nt
Filed under: uncultured bacterium
Lineage: Bacteria
Description: bacterial SSU rRNA
Rfam family: Bacterial small subunit ribosomal RNA
Source: RNAcentral
UGGGGAAUAUUGGACAAUGGGGGGAACCCUGAUCCAGCAAUGCCGCGUGUGUGAAGAAGGCCUGAGGGUUGUAAAGCACUUUCGGUAGGGAGGAGGACUGAUAGGUUAAGAGCUAAUUAGUUGGACGUUACCUACAUAAGAAGCACCGGCUAACUCCGUGCCAGCAGCCGCGGUAAUACGGAGGGUGCGAGCGUUAAUCGGAAUUACUGGGCGUAAAGAGUGCGUAGGUGGUUGAUUAAGUUAUCUGUGAAAUUCCUGGGCUUAACCUGGGCCGGUCAGAUAAUACUGGUUAACUCGAGUAUGGGAGAGGGUAGUGGAAUUUCCGGUGUAGCGGUGAAAUGCGUAGAGAUCGGAAGGAACACCAGUGGCGAAGGCGGCUACCUGGCCUAAUACUGACACUGAGGCACGAAAGCGUGGGGAGCAAACAGGAUUAGAUACCCGCGUAGUCC